CACAGAUGACUCUGCGACCAAUAAACUCUGUAAGUACUAUCAGAAACGGAGCUUGGUGAAGAUAUUCAGAACAUGCUGAACUGUGUUUUCUCUACAUGUGCUUUUAUCGGUUUGCAUGCUGCAUGUUUGAUGUUUUGCCUGAGCUGGGGACGAAAUGGUACUGAAUGCCUGAAAGUAACGUUAACAGUGUUCAGUUUAAGUGUACAUUUCGAGAUCAGUGCCAGUGUUUAUAAACGCUCAAAAUCUGUACAGUAUUUCUUAGAUUAACGAGUGCUUAGUGUAUAAUUUAGGAAAGUUUUAAUAAUACUACAGCAGAUGCUAAUUAAAUCAGGAAGUGAAGCACUACCAAACGUACCGUAUACAAUGUUCAGUUCAAGUUUAAUUUUCAGUUUAGUGCCAGAGUUUAUCAUCAACCCAAAAAAUAUAUAUCUGAUUUUCACAUUGACGAGUACUACUGCUUACUUCUCCCAUUCCUUGGUUGAAGACUGUUUUGAACCGAGCCUUGCAGCAAGGAGGGAAUGGCUGCGUCUGUUUUGUGCUUGGACGCCUUCUCCUAGUUGUGCUAAAAUUGAGGUGCCUGUUUAAUUAACAAGCACCUUUCAUCCCCACUGUGACAGUAAUGCAUUGAGGUGCCUCUGGACUGUAGUGUAUUAGGUUGCCAGGAGUAGUAAAACUUAGUGUUGUAUUGAGGAUUGAGGGUGGCUGGCCUUAUAAGUUAAUCAUCAGCGUGAAUGCUUUGUUUGUCUGAUCCUCACAAAUUAAUGCUUCGCUCGUCUGGGUGUGUGAUAAUGCCAUGUGUCUUGUGCAAUCAGAUUACAUUUCUGUUUGUUAUGGUAAUAUAAAAAAUAUUCGUGCUGUCAAAUUUUUUAUAGUGCGUGCCUUUCAUUUCUUUAGUUUGAUUGUUUCCCUUGUAUUCAAUAUGCUUCUAGUGGCUGAUCCUUCCAUUUUUGUUGUGGCAUCUUUAUUUUCACAGGUGUUGUGUGUUCUGGAAGAUGGAAGAGGAAGAAAACCUAUUUUUGUUGAACUAAAUUUUCUGUAUUCUGUUUUGUUGUACGUAUCAUUUGAUAGUUUUGUAUAGGAACAAGUGAUACUAUUUUGUAGGGCUUUAUGGCAUGUGAUGUAAACAUAUUUAGUGUUGAAAUAUGAAAUUAUUUGCAAAAUUUGUCGAUAAGGAGGAUCAUAUGUAUGAAUAUGUGAAUGGGCUGAAAAGAGUAUUGGA
RNAcentral lists this long non-coding RNA (1219 nucleotides) under Triticum aestivum (bread wheat). RNAcentral describes it as "long non-coding RNA (TAES_LNC023615)". Lineage: Eukaryota; Viridiplantae; Streptophyta; Magnoliopsida; Poales; Poaceae. The record is from RNAcentral.